Molecule: ribosomal RNA, 497 nt
Filed under: uncultured bacterium
Lineage: Bacteria
Description: partial 16S ribosomal RNA
Rfam family: Bacterial small subunit ribosomal RNA
Source: RNAcentral
GACGAACGCUGGCGGCGUGCCUAAUACAUGCAAGUUGAGCGCUGAAGGUUGGUACUUGUACCAACUGGAUGAGCAGCGAACGGGUGAGUAACGCGUGGGGAAUCUGCCUUUGAGCGUGGGACAACAUUUGGAAACGAAUGCUAAUACCGCAUAAAAACUUUAAACACAAGUUUUAAGUUUGAAAGAUGCAAUUGCAUCACUCAAAGAUGAUCCCGCGUUGUAUUAGCUAGUUGGUGAGGUAAAGGCUCACCAAGGCGAUGAUACAUAGCCGACCUGAGAGGGUGAUCGGCCACAUUGGGACUGAGACACGGCCCAAACGCCUACGGGAGGCAGCAGUAGGGAAUCUUCGGCAAUGGACGAAAGUCUGACCGAGCAACGCCGCGUGAGUGAAGAAGGUUUUCGGAUCGUAAAACUCUGUUGGUAGAGAAGAACGUUGGUGAGAGUGGAAAGCUCAUCAAGUGACGGUAACUACCCAGAAAGGGACGGCUAACUACGUG